This is a long non-coding RNA of Sphaerodactylus townsendi, 471 nucleotides long. RefSeq lists it as uncharacterized. The record is from RefSeq and is a predicted model, not a curated record. NCBI's taxonomy places the organism in Eukaryota, Metazoa, Chordata, Lepidosauria, Squamata, Sphaerodactylidae. The transcript is spliced from 3 exons.
AUCAGAGCUUGUUGAACUCUGACAUGGAUCUCAGUUUGGUGGAAAUCCUGAGGGGUUUUUUUUUAAGUGGCAGCAAUGAACAAAUCUGCUUUGGAUUUCAUUGUGAUGGAAAAGCAUGAACCCACAGGAAGAAGGAGAGUGACUUCUACUGGAUCACUUACUAUGUGGUUCUUAAAGACAAUGCAGGAAAGGUAAAUCUUUAAAGUCACCGCUGGCCCAAAAUUGGAACCUGAAGAGUGAGCCAAAGGGCUCUGAGCUCAAACAGCUUGGACAAUGGGAAGAAGAUCUGCUAAGCAAGUGAGACAAUGAGCAACCUGCCUGGCUCUCAAGACCUUUCCUGUUUGCUUCCAUUGCACUUUGGUAAAUUUAAGCCGCUUGGUAAUUUUAGCCACUUUGUGUGCCCACUGGGCUGAUAAGUGGCAUACAUGUACUUAAAUAAAUAUGUUUAUGUCAACAAAAGUUGGAUCUCGU